CCUACGGGAGGCAGCAGUGGGGGAUAUUGCACAAUGGAGGAAACUCUGAUGCAGCGACGCAGCGUGUAGGAAGACGGUCCUCUGGGUUGUAAACCACUGUCAGCAGGGACGAAGAUGACGGUACCUGGGGAGGAAGCUCCGGCUAACUACGUACCAGCAGCCGCGGUAAUACGUAGGGAGCGAGCGUUGUCCGGAAUUACUGGGUGGAAAGGGAGCGUAGGCGGGACUGCAGGCUGGGUGUCAAAUCUACCGGCUCAACCGGUAGCCGCACUUAAAACUGCAGUUCUUGAGUGAAGUAGAGGCAGGCGGAAUUCAUAGGGUAGCGGUGAAAUGCGUAGAUAUUAGGAGGAACACCAGUGGCGAAGGCGGGCUGCUGGGCUUUUACUGACGCUGAGGCUCGAAAGUGUGGGGAGCAAACAGGAUUAGAUACCCCGGUAGUC
RNAcentral lists this ribosomal RNA (440 nucleotides) under uncultured bacterium. RNAcentral describes it as "partial 16S ribosomal RNA". It matches the Rfam family "Bacterial small subunit ribosomal RNA", at positions 338 to 795 of the family's 1533-position model. The record is from RNAcentral.